This 128-nucleotide small RNA is filed under the name Mycoplasmoides pneumoniae M129. RNAcentral describes it as "Mycoplasma pneumoniae M129 ncRNA". The record is from RNAcentral. Lineage: Bacteria; Bacillati; Mycoplasmatota; Mycoplasmoidales; Mycoplasmoidaceae.
GUACAGACUUCACUGAGUUUUUACAUAAAUUUGCUAUCAGUCGUAAGUUGUUGCAAAAAUCGAAUCAGCUCAACAUUAAUUUAGCGUGCGAACUGUUUGUUAGUGAACUGAUAAACGGGAAGUACGGU